GUUCUUAGCACUUUCUUCUUUGGCUCCCCACCGCGCGCAGGUUGGCGUACGCUGAGCUGGACCCUCGCAGCAAGAAUGGCACGUGGGAAUUGACACCGCGAUCGUGGAACACAUGGCUGAUCUGCCUCGAAUAACUGCAAGCCGGCGCGUGCGUAGUGCCGUGGAGAACGAUCAGAAGUCCUGGACGACAAAGAAAAAAACUUCAAAGCUGCCUCUGCGAACCCCGCUCCUGGACAACAGCUGGGAGGCUCUGUGUUUAAACGCGUGCACCUUGGACGUCAUGCUCGUAAAUACCAAUUCCUUUGUCAUUCCUGGCAUGAAUUUUGUUGGUAAAGCAAUAGGUAAAAUUGUGCAUUGUUGUUUACAAUCACUUCAGUAUGAACCAGGCUUAAAGGAGAAGGGACCGACAACUGGCCAGAACUUGUGAUUAGAUCCUGUCAGAAAUGAAAAUACCGCGCUAUAUGCUGACAUAUUCCAGCAUCCUUUUCGCGCUGUGAGUAGGAUUUAUAUCUCUAAAUUGUGUUUAAAAGUAACAAAAAAAUUAUGUUGUGCAACCUAUCGCAAGAGCCUUGAAGCUAGAUUGCAGAGUUGAUCACUUUGCUGUACAAAGUCACGUAGUCUGAUACCGUCAUGUGUGCCAUUAUUGGUCCUAAAAAUAUUAGUAUGUAUAUUACUAUCCAUCCCCGCUCUAUUCUGUGCUGCUUAUGAGGUAAAAGGAGUUGCAUGGUGACAAGAAACGGCGCUGCCUUCGCGGUAGCCAGUGGACCAUGUCGAGCCGCAGCACAUGCGCGCGAGUACACACACACGCAGUAAACCGCCGCGCUCGAACACGAACCGCUGUCACGCUCACUGUUUGCAGCAUGCCUUGUUACGUGUGUAUACAACUUCAUAUCCGUCGCAGAUAGAAAAAUUCGAAUUACAAAUGUUUCACGGCAUUUUCCACAUCACCAUUCCUUGAUUAUACACUCUUGACUGGUAAGCUUUCUGUCGCGCUAAAGAAAAUAGGUACCAUAAAAGUUGGUUGUCGGUCCCUUUAACCUCUUAACACACACAGGUCAAAAUAGGCAUGCUAUAUCCCCGUUGUGCACCAUCUUUGUGCGUUUGUGUGUGCAGUAUGGACAUGUACAUUAAGGCUUUGUUUUUGUUCUCAGCUGCCUCUGCGAGCCCUGCUGUUGGACGCCAGCUGGAAUGCUCUGCGUUUGAAAGCGUGCGCCCCAGAUGUCAUACUCAUAAAUACAGAGUUCUCAUGAUUCUAGUGUUGAAAAAGCAAUAAGUAAAAGCAGGCACUUGUGCAUCUGGAAUGAGGUUUAACCCUGUCUCAGGAGACAUAAGACAAUAUAGUCAUGCUAUGUUCCUGUUGUUCACCAUUUUCAUGCAUGUUGUGUGCAGUACGUAUACAUACAUGCAGGCUUUGUUUUUGUUGCCCUCAGCUGCCUCUGCAAGCCCUUUUGCUGGACGCCAUGGAAGGCCCUCCACUCGAAAGUGUGCACCUUAGACUACACGCUCAUCAAUACCAAGUUCUUUGUCCUUCUCGGCAUGAUUGUAGUGCCAUAUAAUAGUGAGGCAAUAAAUCAUUUUUGCUGGUCACUUGAUGUUCCAUGCAUGUUGCUUGGUUUCUGAACACUUGACUUGGUUUUAAGUUAUCUAGUUAUCUAUGUGA
This is a long non-coding RNA of Rhipicephalus sanguineus (brown dog tick), 1660 nucleotides long. RefSeq lists it as uncharacterized. The record is from RefSeq and is a predicted model, not a curated record. The transcript has 3 exons. NCBI's taxonomy places the organism in Eukaryota, Metazoa, Arthropoda, Arachnida, Ixodida, Ixodidae.